This 408-nucleotide ribosomal RNA is filed under the name uncultured bacterium. RNAcentral describes it as "bacterial SSU rRNA". It matches the Rfam family "Bacterial small subunit ribosomal RNA", at positions 335 to 758 of the family's 1533-position model. The record is from RNAcentral.
ACUCCUACGGGAGGCAGCAGUGGGGAAUAUUGGACAAUGGGCGCAAGCCUGAUCCAGCCAUGCCGCGUGAGUGAUGAAGGCCCUAGGGUUGUAAAGCUCUUUCAGCGAGGAGGAUAAUGACGUUACUCGCAGAAGAAGCCCCGGCUAACUUCGUGCCAGCAGCCGCGGUAAUACGAAGGGGGCUAGCGUUGUUCGGAAUCACUGGGGCGUAAAGCGCACGUAGGCGGACUUUUAAGUCAGGGGUGAAAUCCCGGGGCUCAACCCGGAACUGCCUUUGAUACUGGAAGUCUUGAGUCCGAGAGAGGUGAGUGGAACUCCGAGUGUAGAGGUGAAAGUUCGUAGAUAUUCGGAAGAACACCGAGUGGCGAAGGCGGCUCACUGGCUCGGUACUGACGCUGAGGUGCGAAA